Molecule: ribosomal RNA, 253 nt
Filed under: uncultured bacterium
Lineage: Bacteria
Description: partial 16S ribosomal RNA
Rfam family: Bacterial small subunit ribosomal RNA
Source: RNAcentral
UACGGAAGGGGCAAGCGUUGUUCGGAAUCAUUGGGCGUAAAGGGCGCGUAGGUGGUUCUGUAUGUCUACCGUGAAAGCAUACAGCUCAACUGUAUUUUGUCGGCAGAAACUGCAGGACUUGAGGCUGGGAGGGGCUGGUGGAAUUCCCUGUGUAGCGGUGAAAUGCGUAGAGAUGGGGGAGAACACUCGUGGCGAAGGCGGCCAGCUAGACCAGUUCUGACACUGAGGCGCGACAGCGUGGGGAGCAAACAGG